Molecule: ribosomal RNA, 569 nt
Filed under: uncultured bacterium
Lineage: Bacteria
Description: partial 16S ribosomal RNA
Rfam family: Bacterial small subunit ribosomal RNA
Source: RNAcentral
UGGGGAAUUUUGGACAAUGGGCGAAAGCCUGAUCCAGCCAUGCCGCGUGCAGGAUGAAGGCCUUCGGGUUGUAAACUGCUUUUGUACGGAACGAAAAGCCUCUUUCUAAUAAAGAGAGGUCAUGACGGUACCGUAAGAAUAAGCACCGGCUAACUACGUGCCAGCAGCCGCGGUAAUACGUAGGGUGCAAGCGUUAAUCGGAAUUACUGGGCGUAAAGCGUGCGCAGGCGGUUUUGUAAGACAGAGGUGAAAUCCCCGGGCUCAACCUGGGAACUGCCUUUGUGACUGCAAGGCUGGAGUGCGGCAGAGGGGGAUGGAAUUCCGCGUGUAGCAGUGAAAUGCGUAGAUAUGCGGAGGAACACCGAUGGCGAAGGCAAUCCCCUGGGCCUGCACUGACGCUCAUGCACGAAAGCGUGGGGAGCAAACAGGAUUAGAUACCCUGGUAGUCCACGCCCUAAACGAUGUCAACUGGUUGUUGGGUCUUCACUGACUCAGUAACGAAGCUAACGCGUGAAGUUGACCGCCUGGGGAGUACGCCGCAAGGUUGAAACUCAAAUGAAUUGACGGGG